This 250-nucleotide ribosomal RNA is filed under the name uncultured bacterium. RNAcentral describes it as "partial 16S ribosomal RNA". It matches the Rfam family "Bacterial small subunit ribosomal RNA", at positions 524 to 773 of the family's 1533-position model. The record is from RNAcentral.
UACGAAGGGUGCAAGCGUUACUCGGAAUUACUGGGCGUAAAGCGUGCGUAGGUGGUUUGUUAAGUCUGAUGUGAAAGCCCUGGGCUCAACCUGGGAAUUGCAUUGGAUACUGGCAGGCUAGAGUGCGGUAGAGGGUAGUGGAAUUCCCGGUGUAGCAGUGAAAUGCGUAGAGAUCGGGAGGAACAUCCGUGGCGAAGGCGACUACCUGGACCAGCACUGACACUGAGGCACGAAAGCGUGGGGAGCAAAC